RNAcentral lists this ribosomal RNA (926 nucleotides) under uncultured bacterium. Its description in RNAcentral is "bacterial SSU rRNA". It matches the Rfam family "Bacterial small subunit ribosomal RNA", at positions 8 to 916 of the family's 1533-position model. The record is from RNAcentral.
AGAGUUUGAUCCUGGCUCAGAACGAACGCUGGCGGCGUGGCUAAGACAUGCAAGUCGAACGGACUAUGGAAUUGGGUAACCGAGACCAUGGUCAGUGGCGAAAGGGUGAGGAAUAAAUAGGUAACAUACCCCGUACUCCGGGAUAGCGUCGUUGCCGCAAGGCAACUACCGAAAGGGGCGGUAAUACCGGAUGAUAUCGGAUUUCACAAGGAGUCCGAUCAACGAUUUAUCGGUGCGGGAUUGGCCUAUUUCCUAUCAGCUAGUUGGUGAGGUAAUGGCCCACCAAGGCGAUGACGGGUAGCGGGACUGAGAGGUUGACCCGCCACAUCGGGACUGAGACACUGCCCGGACCUCCACGGAGGGCUGCAGUAACGAAUAUUGCGCAAUGGGCGAAAGCCUGACGCAGCGACGCCGCGUGUAGGACGAAGCCCCUCGGGGUGUAAACUACUGUCAGGGGUUAGAAAGUCUGAGCAAUCAGAUUGAUCAGCCCCAGAGGAAGUCACGGCUAACUUCGUGCCAGCAGCCGCGGUAAUACGAAGGUGGCUAGCGUUGUUCGGUGUCACUGGGCUUAAAGCGCUCGUAGGCGGAACCGUAAGUGUCUUGUGAAAUCCCCCGGCUCAACCGGGGAAUGGCUAGGCAUACUGCGGUUCUUGAGGCAAACAGGGGUGCAUGGAACUCUUGGUGGAGCGGUGGAAUGCGUAGAUAUCAAGAGGAACGCCGAUGGUGAAGACAAUGCACUGGGUUUGUCCUGACGCUGAGGAGCGAAAGCGUGGGGAGCAAACAGGAUUAGAUACCCUGGUAGUCCACGCCCUAAACGAUGUUUACUAGGUUGUAGAGGAUCUGACGCCUUUACAGUCGGAGCAAAAGUGUUAAGUAAACCGCCUGGGGAGUACGGUCGCAAGGCUAAAACUUAAAGGAAUUGACGG